Molecule: long non-coding RNA, 212 nt
Filed under: Homo sapiens (human)
Lineage: Eukaryota; Metazoa; Chordata; Mammalia; Primates; Hominidae
Description: HSALNT0209373
Source: RNAcentral
AUGAUGGCAUAACGGUCAAGCUUGUUUCUCCUGGGGGCGCUAUUCCGAGGAUAUUUGGGUGGCCUCGAGUCGCAGUGUCCUGGGCCUCCGGAAGCAUUGCCCCUAGCCCAAGCAGUGGAACUCAAAUCUGUCCCUGGAAAAAAUGAGAAUGGUGACAUAAAAUGUGAGCAAUGGCUGGACGUGGUGGCUCAUGCCUGCAAUCCUAGCACUUU